RNAcentral lists this ribosomal RNA (406 nucleotides) under Stenotrophomonas sp. HP4. RNAcentral's name for it is "bacterial SSU rRNA". It matches the Rfam family "Bacterial small subunit ribosomal RNA", at positions 960 to 1366 of the family's 1533-position model. The record is from RNAcentral. Lineage: Bacteria; Pseudomonadati; Pseudomonadota; Gammaproteobacteria; Lysobacterales; Lysobacteraceae.
CGCGGAGAGACCUAACUGGCCCUUACAUUCGAGAACUUUCCACAGAUAGAUUUGUGUCUUUUGCGAACUCGAACACAGGUGCUGCAUGGCUGUCGUCAGCUCGUGUCGUGAGAUGUUGGGUUAAGUCCCGCAACGAGCGCAACACUCCUCCUCAGUUGGCAGCACGUAAUGGUGGGAACUCUAAGGAGAGCGCCGGUGACAAACCGGAGGAAGGUGGGGAUGACGUCAAGUCAUCAUGGGCCUUACGGCCAGGGCUACACACGUACUACAAUGGUAGGGACAGAGGGCUGCAAGCCGGCGACGGUAAGCCAAUCCCAGAAACCCUAUCUCAGUCCGGAUUGGAGUCUGCAACUCGACUCCAAGAAGUCGGAAACGCUAGGAAACGCAGAUCAGCAGUGAAGCGGGA